Molecule: ribosomal RNA, 526 nt
Filed under: uncultured bacterium
Lineage: Bacteria
Description: partial 16S ribosomal RNA
Rfam family: Bacterial small subunit ribosomal RNA
Source: RNAcentral
UGGGGAAUAUUGCACAAUGGGCGCAAGCCUGAUGCAGCAACGCCGCGUGAGGGACGACGGGCCUUCGGGUUGUAAACCUCUUUUAGUNGGGAAGAAGCGAAAGUACGGUACCUGCAGAAAAAGCACCGGCUAACUACGUGCCAGCAGCCGCGGUAAUACGUAGGGUGCGAGCGUUGUCCGGAAUUAUUGGGCGUAAAGAGCUCGUAGGCGGUCUGUCGCGUCUGCUGUGAAAACCCGAGGCUCAACCUCGGGCCUGCAGUGGGUACGGGCAGACUAGAGUGCGUAGGGGAGAAUGGAAUUCCUGGUGUAGCGGUGGAAUGCGCAGAUAUCAGGAGGAACACCGAUGGCGAAGGCAGUUCUCUGGGCCGUAACUGACGCUGAGGAGCGAAAGCGUGGGGAGCGAACAGAAUUAGAUACCCUGGUAGUCCACGCCGUAAACGUUGGGCGCUAGAUGUGGGGAGCCAUUCCACGGUUUCCGUGUCGCAGCUAACGCAUUAAGCGCCCCGCCUGGGGAGUACGGCCGCAA